This 528-nucleotide ribosomal RNA is filed under the name Zachobiella lobata. RNAcentral describes it as "partial 16S ribosomal RNA". The stretch from base 395 to 528 matches the Rfam family "Archaeal large subunit ribosomal RNA", at positions 2544 to 2677 of the family's 2987-position model. Lineage: Eukaryota; Metazoa; Arthropoda; Insecta; Neuroptera; Hemerobiidae. The record is from RNAcentral.
AAAAACAUGUCUUUUUGAAUAAAAUUUAAAGUCUAACCUGCCCAAUGAUWUUAUAUUUAAAGGCCGCRGUAUUUUGACUGUGCARAGGUAGCRUAAUUAUUUGUCUUUUAAUUGAAGGCUUGNAUGAAUGGWUGGAUGAGGUAUAAACUGUCUCAGUUUAAAAAAUUAAAAAAUUAAUUUUUAAGUUAAAAAGCUUAAAUUAAUUUAAAAGACGAGAAGACCCUAUAGAUUUUUAUAUAAAAAAUAUUUAAUUUAUUAAGAAAUAAAUUUAUUUUAAUUAUUUUUUGUAUUUAAUUGGGGUGAUUGAAAAAUUUAAUAAACUUUUUUUAUAAAAAACMUUAAUUUAUGAAUAUUUGAUCCAAUUUUAUUGAUUAUAAGAUUAAAUUACYUUAGGGAUAACAGCGUAAUUUUUUUAGAGAGUUCUUAUCGAUAAAAAAGAUUGCGACCUCGAUGUUGAAUUAAGAAAUAUAUUUAAAUGCAGAAGUUWAAAUGUUAGGUUUGUUCAACCUUUAAUUUCUUACAUGAUCU